This 2147-nucleotide long non-coding RNA is filed under the name Mustela putorius furo (domestic ferret). RNAcentral's name for it is "lncRNA (ENSMPUG00000031818.1)". Lineage: Eukaryota; Metazoa; Chordata; Mammalia; Carnivora; Mustelidae. The record is from RNAcentral.
UGCGAGGGGAACAGUGGUGAGAACAGUAAUUAUUUCCUGGGAGCACGCUGACGGCCAAGGUAUUUAUACAUCAGGCGAGAGGGAGAAAAACAAUACUUGCCACCUACCUACCCAUUAGAGGUGACGUCUGGAUGAGGGGGGACAUGAAUAGGACUGUACUGUCAGCUUCUGAUCUGUCGGGUCUUUGCCUGACUUCGCUCUCCGAAACAAGUUCUCUGACUCUUCAAACACGCGGAUAUUCUGACAUUUCCGUGAAGUCAGAAAACCCCUCUCCGCCAGGUCUUGCUUCUCAGGUUCUUCUCCGUCUUCCUUUCACAAAUCCGCGCGGAGCGCUCCUCUGCGACCAGGAGAUCUUCUCCACGGCUUCGACCUCAUUGCUGCAAUCCCGAGGCGCGGUCCUUGCCACGGUUUCCUGACCACGGCAGAAUCACCCGUUACCAGAGGCAAUGGGAUACCUUCAUUCCUGCCCUCGGCCACUUCCCCGAUGCAUUCGUUGAUUUUCCAAAGCAGAAAGUUAGCUGAUCAUCAGAAUUGUAAAUUAUUCAGUCUAAUGGCAUGGAAAUUAAUAAAGCAAAGUCGUGAGACGACCAUCUGUUUCAAAGUUAUCUACUUGUAGAUGUUUAUCAAGCUAAGAAACUCACCAUAUGUGUAACAUAUUGUCUGAAGAAAAGGAAAUCUCAACUUCUUUCUGGAAAAUCCUGACCUUGUACAUUAUGUUUUCCUGCAUCAUGUUAGGGCAACUUCUCUAGUCACAGGUGAAUCCGAGAGUUGCUUCCCCCUCUCUCUCUGUUCGUUUUUCGUAAUAGGAAGUCUGAAUGAAUUCUGUUUGCAUAAGGUGUUCAGCCUCAUUCUACAAAAGGUCUGAAAACAUCUUUUAAGUCCAAUCUGUUCUUGUGUUUGCCUUAGACUAACCUGUUUUUAAAAUGCCUCUUCAGAAAUGAUACACUUGAAUUUUUCUCAUCGUGGCUUCUGUCCAAACAUGUCACAUUGCUUUGGAGAUAAUAUUCCAUUCAUUUUCACAAUAUUCCUCUGAAAAUGUAGACAAUAUUAUGCCACCUUGCAUGUGGUCAAACUACAGCAUUGGGGGGGGGGGGAGUGUGAUUAACUCUCUCCCCUGCUGUCAGCCCCUGGGAUGUAAUUCUGUUCUGAACAUCAUUUGCACGUAGCUGAAUACCCCUUACGAAGUUCCCUCUCCACUCCCGAGAUAAUUCCGGGAGCGCAUCUUGUCUUCCUUCAUUUGCCUGUAGGUUUUUGUAUCUGGGUUUGAUCCGUGUGAGUUCACAUACUGAACUCAGCCCAGUUCAAUGCUUGGAAUUAUAAGAGUGUUUAAGACUCAAAUAAAAGGAAGGGCUAUGAGCAUUACAGAUGGGCGCAGUGUGUGACAUAUUAUUUAAGCACACCUAUAUAUUUCUUGAAUAAAGAAAAAUGAAAAUUUGGCACUUUACAGGAUAAUAGCGGUAUAUUUGUUUUCCCACGCCUUGCUUAUUUUUCCUCAUGACAGUCUCAUUGUAUAGACGGGGUUGAUGCUCCCGAAGCAGAGAUGAGCAAACUGAGACUCGGAGAGCUUUGGUCGCUCUCCGGGUAUCUGUUAUCUGUAGGGACAGACACGGGGGUCAUUCAGCAGUCGUUCCCACUGUCUCGGAAUUCCUUCUUUCCUCUUCCCACUGCAACGUCUUCCCUAAAACUCUACUAACCAACCUUCUUCCAUGUCCGCUCCCCGAGGCUUCAGAUAUCUCAUUUCCCUAAGACUCAGCUUUUAUCACAUUUCCCCCCCGUACCUGAAAAUCAUCCGUGGGUACCGGCUGUCCCUGUGAGGUCAUGAAUAUAAUGGGUGCCUGCCUCCCAGUUCCUGACCUGGAGCUUCUAAGACCUUGGAAUGUCCUGGGGAUAGGAGAGCCUUUGGCCACAAUGAGGCUAUUCUUGGUGGGCUCCUGAGAAGCCUCAGGAUGGGGACCAAGAAGCUUGCAACUUCCAGGCCCACAACCCCACCCCGCAGCCCCCCACCCGGUGUCCCGAGGGAAGACAGCGGUAGAGGAAUCACCUCUGCUCGGUUCCGCUGGACUUGGGAGGGUGCCUGACAGACAUCAUGAACCCUGUGGCUAUUUUUCUUGAUUUUAUUGCGUUAUCUAGUUCAUGUAAAAUGGUAC